Molecule: small nucleolar RNA, 167 nt
Filed under: Hordeum vulgare subsp. vulgare (domesticated barley)
Lineage: Eukaryota; Viridiplantae; Streptophyta; Magnoliopsida; Poales; Poaceae
Description: Small nucleolar RNA Z112
Rfam family: Small nucleolar RNA Z112
About the family: Z112 is a member of the C/D class of snoRNA which contain the C (UGAUGA) and D (CUGA) box motifs. Most of the members of the box C/D family function in directing site-specific 2'-O-methylation of substrate RNAs.
Source: Rfam by way of RNAcentral
AUCCGUGUAAAGAUUCUCAGACCAUAGGAAGUGUCGUAUGACACUGUAAACCAAUAGCUUCAGCUGCUUCUGACAUUGUAAACUUUGUGGUUUGGUCUGUUCCAAAAUCUCUAUUUGCAGCCGGUUUGGUUCAGGUGUGUGCGUGAUUUAAAACGGGUCUCUGAGAU